This 521-nucleotide ribosomal RNA is filed under the name uncultured bacterium. RNAcentral's name for it is "bacterial SSU rRNA". It matches the Rfam family "Bacterial small subunit ribosomal RNA", at positions 401 to 917 of the family's 1533-position model. The record is from RNAcentral.
GUGGGAUGAAGGCCUUCGGGUUGUAAACCACUUUUGGCGGGGGCGAAAUAUCGAGUGCUAAUACCAUUCGGUGAUGACGGUACCCGCAGAAUAAGCACCGGCUAACUACGUGCCAGCAGCCGCGGUAAUACGUAGGGUGCAAGCGUUAAUCGGAAUUACUGGGCGUAAAGCGUGCGCAGGCGGUUAGGUAAGACAGAUGUGAAAUUCCCGGGCUCAACCUGGGAACUGCAUUUGUGACUGCCUGACUAGAGUGCGGCAGAGGGGAGUGGAAUUCCGCGUGUAGCAGUGAAAUGCGUAGAUAUGCGGAGGAACACCGAUGGCGAAGGCAACUCCCUGGGCCUGCACUGACGCUCAUGCACGAAAGCGUGGGGAGCAAACAGGAUUAGAUACCCUGGUAGUCCACGCCCUAAACGAUGUCGACUAGUUGUUGGACGGGUUACUGUUCAGUAACGAAGCUAACGCGUGAAGUCGACCGCCUGGGGAGUACGGCCGCAAGGUUAAAACUCAAAUGAAUUGACGGG